AAUCAACGCUGGCGGCGUGCCUAACACAUGCAAGUCGAACGAGAAAGUGGAGCAAUCCAUGAGUAAAGUGGCGCACGGGUGAGUAACACGUGACUAACCUACCCUUGAGUGGGGGAUAACCUCGGGAAACCGGGGCUAAUACCGCAUAAUAUCGAGAGAUCAAAGGAGCAAUUCGCUUAAGGAGGGGGUCGCGGCUGAUUAGCUAGUUGGUGAGGUAAUGGCUCACCAAGGCUAUGAUCAGUAUCCGGCCUGAGAGGGCGCACGGACACACUGGAACUGAAACACGGUCCAGACUCCUACGGGAGGCAGCAGUGGGGAAUUUUGCGCAAUGGGGGAAACCCUGACGCAGCAACGCCGCGUGGAGGAUGAAGUCCCUUGGGACGUAAACUCCUUUCGAUCGGGACGAUAAUGACGGUACCGGAAGAAGAAGCCCCGCUAACUUCGUGCCAGCAGCCGCCGUAAC
RNAcentral lists this ribosomal RNA (463 nucleotides) under uncultured bacterium. RNAcentral describes it as "bacterial SSU rRNA". It matches the Rfam family "Bacterial small subunit ribosomal RNA", at positions 32 to 524 of the family's 1533-position model. The record is from RNAcentral.